Molecule: ribosomal RNA, 797 nt
Filed under: uncultured Pelagibacteraceae bacterium
Lineage: Bacteria; Pseudomonadati; Pseudomonadota; Alphaproteobacteria; Candidatus Pelagibacterales; Candidatus Pelagibacteraceae
Description: bacterial SSU rRNA
Rfam family: Bacterial small subunit ribosomal RNA
Source: RNAcentral
CACGCCUAAUACAUGCAAGUCGAACGCAGUAGCAAUACUGAGUGGCAGACGGGUGAGUAUAAUGUGGGUAUCUGCCUUUUGGUUUGGAAUAACUCGGGGAAACCUGAGCUAAUACCGAAUAAGCCUUCACAGGGAAAGCUUUAUGCGCCAAAAGAUGAGCCCGCACUUGAUUAGCUUGUUGGUGAGGUAAAGGCUCACCAAGGCAACGAUCAAUAGCUGUUCUUAGAGGAAGACCAGCCACAUUGGGACUGAGACACGGCCCAGACUCCUACGGGAGGCAGCAGUAGGGAAUCUUGCACAAUGGGGGAAACCCUGAUGCAGCGAUGCCGCGUGAGUGAAGAAGGCCUUUGGGUUGUAAAACUCUUUCGUCGGGGAAGAAAAUGACUGUACCCGAAUAAGAAGGUCCGGCUAACUUCGUGCCAGCAGCCGCGGUAAUACGAAGGGAUCUAGCGUAGUUCGGAAUUACUGGGCUUAAAGAGCUCGUAGGUGGUUAAAAAAGUUGAUGGUGAAAUCCCAAGGCUUAACCUUGGAACUGCCAUCAAAACUUUUUAGCUAGAGUAUGAUAGAGGAAAGUGGAAUUUCUAGUGUAGAGGUGAAAUUCGUAGAUAUUAGAAAGAACACCAAAUGCGAAGGCAACUUUCUGGAUCAUUACUGACACUGAGGAGCGAAAGCAUGGGUAGCGAAGAGGAUUAGAUACCCUCGUAGUCCAUGCUGUAAACGAUGUGUGCUAGACGUUGGAAACAUAGUUUUCAGUGUCGCAGCGAAAGCAUUAAGCACACCGCCUGGGGAGUACGACC